Long non-coding RNA from Lolium rigidum, 1915 nucleotides. RefSeq lists it as uncharacterized. NCBI's taxonomy places the organism in Eukaryota, Viridiplantae, Streptophyta, Magnoliopsida, Poales, Poaceae. The transcript is spliced from 6 exons. The record is from RefSeq and is a predicted model, not a curated record.
UCUCCCCACUCGCUCGCUCCUCCAUGUCGCCGCACCCCAUCACCGGCGUCGUCUUCCUCUCGCGCCCCACCUCAUCGCCGGGGUUGUCUUCCUCUCGCGCCCCUGCGGCGCCGCCUUGCUCCCCACCACACAGUUUCCUCUCGCAUCCCGCCCUCAACGACGCAGGUAGUUAGAGCUCAAAGGUCGCAUUUUUUUUGCUCUGGCUACGCGCUCCUGGGUGAAGAGGCACUACUCCGGCCUAGAUCUGCGUGCGCCGGCAACGUAUUGUUGGGCGGGAGGCCCUGGAUUUGCGUGUGCCGGCGACGUAUUGUUGGGCGGAAGGCCCUGGAUUUCCGUGCGCCGACGAUGUGCCUCAGGAGGGCAAGGAUGCACUAGAUCUGCCUCAGGAGGAGCUGGAGAAACCCGACGCGAAUGCCAUCGGCGGCCGCGGGAGAUCUGGCUGGUGUUCUCGGACGUGGGGUUCGGUUUCUCGUCCUAAUCGCCGCCGGGUACUCGCCGGCCUUCUCCAUGUCGCAUGCUGGUGCGUGGUGCCGUCACUGCCUGCCGCUGCAGCCUACGACGCCACCCACGCCCAUUUGAGUUCUUGUACAAGGUCAAGAAGUGGAGGCUGAGAGUAAGCAUGGCAACAGUUUCUUGGAGUUUAAGCAGAUAACAGGAAGACAAUCAUCUGCAGUCCCCAAGAGUACCAAGGAAAAUGGAGAGACCAACACUCAAAGCUGACAAGAAUAAAGACAAGGGUGCUCAGCAGAAAUUCGAAGAGAUAAAUAAUGCGCAUGAGAUUCUGUCAGAUCUCUACGGUGAUGAGAAAGGUAACCCAGGGAUUGGUGGUGGACAUUUUGGGAACCAUGAGGGCUUCACUGGUGGCGGUCCCAAGACUACCAUGGCAAAACAUUAAGGAGGUCACAAUGCAAAGUUUCAACAAAGAAAUAGCUGACCAAGGAAUUACUUUGAUUUUGUUAUUCUAUACACAACAAGCAAAAGGUCAAUUUGUUCUAGAAAGUGUCCUGGAGGAUGUGGCUCGUUCAUUGGAUGGAGCAGUAAGGGCUGGUAAGAUAAAUUGCGAGAAAGAAAAAGCUCUUUGCAAAAAUUUGAGGGUCCUAUAUUGUUAAGUAUGAUUUGGGAUUAUGAAUAUAAGCACAAGAUGCAUUGUUAUAGAAUUUGAGGGUGAUAUCUGACAUUUAGUAGCACUGAAACACACAAGAGACAAUUGACAUGGGGCACGUAUGGACCCACUUGCUGGCAUUCACUAAUUCAGCAUGUGAGCUUUUAGAUGUUGCUUGGCCGAGCUGGCCUCUUCUGAAGACCAUAUACACACACACAUUAUUGCAGGAGCUCCAGUUAUUAUCUGAAUCUGAAUAGAUGCUGCAUGCUCAUAUUGCAUCCUUUUUUUAUGCCUUCAACUUUCGACAGAACUAUGAUCAAAUGCAAUGAAUCGUACAAGCACAUGUCAUGGUGUCCUCUACCUCUAGUUGUAUCAAUCAUGCAUGUGGACUAAAAUUGAGAUCUGGAAGCACCAUUGUCUACAGGCGCGACCUCGCCGACCUUUGUACGCAGCGAUGAGCGAGGAAGUAGUGCUUUGCCUGCAACUGGCAUCCUUGUGACCUCCAGGCCCUGGCGCCUCUUGGUGACCUCCAGGCCUGACCCUAGCGCCCCCAAGGGAAGCCCUGGACGAGCUUCUGGCUAGGGGACGGCGGCGAGCUUCCGGGAACUGCAACAAUCGGCGAGCUGGGCGACGAGCCAGUGGAUGAUCGGAGCUAGACCUGGAGUACAGCUGGGCGACGAGAUAGGGGAUCGAUCGGUACCAGUCUCGGAGCUGGACGCGAAGGCCUGGAUCGUUUGGCGAUGAGACAGGGGAUCGAUCGGAGCUGGGCCACGCGCGCUUGGUGGAUCGGAGCUGGGCCACGCGCGCCUGGUG